GACGAACGCUGGCGGCGUGCCUAAUACAUGCAAGUCGAGCGGACUUGAGGGAGCUUGCUCCCGAGAGUUAGCGGCGGACGGGUGAGUAACACGUGGGCAACCUGCCUGUAAGACUGGGAUAACUUCGGGAAACCGGAGCUAAUACCGGAUAACUUCUUUUCCCGCAUGGGGAGAGGUUGAAAGACGGCUUCGGCUGUCACUUACAGAUGGGCCCGCGGCGCAUUAGCUAGUUGGUGAGGUAACGGCUCACCAAGGCGACGAUGCGUAGCCGACCUGAGAGGGUGAUCGGCCACACUGGGACUGAGACACGGCCCAGACUCCUACGGGAGGCAGCAGUAGGGAAUCUUCCGCAAUGGACGAAAGUCUGACGGAGCAACGCCGCGUGAGUGAAGAAGGUCUUCGGAUCGUAAAACUCUGUUAUCAGGGAAGAACAAGUACCGGAGUAACUGCCGGUACCUUGACGGUACCUGACCAGAAAGCCACGGCUAACUACGUGC
This 497-nucleotide ribosomal RNA is filed under the name uncultured bacterium. RNAcentral describes it as "bacterial SSU rRNA". It matches the Rfam family "Bacterial small subunit ribosomal RNA", at positions 28 to 508 of the family's 1533-position model. The record is from RNAcentral.